This 515-nucleotide ribosomal RNA is filed under the name uncultured bacterium. Its description in RNAcentral is "partial 16S ribosomal RNA". It matches the Rfam family "Bacterial small subunit ribosomal RNA", at positions 28 to 523 of the family's 1533-position model. The record is from RNAcentral.
GACGAACGCUGGCGGCGUACCUAAUACAUGCAAGUCGAGCGGACUUUCAAGAAGCUUGCUUUUUGAAAGUUAGCGGCGGACGGGUGAGUAACACGUAGGCAACCUGCCCGUAAGACGGGGAUAACUCCGGGAAACCGGGGCUAAUACCGGAUAAUAUCUUUCUUCGCAUGAAGGAAGGUUGAAAGGCGGCGCAAGCUGCCGCUUGCAGAUGGGCCCGCGGCGCAUUAGCUAGUUGGUGAGGUAACGGCUCACCAAGGCGACGAUGCGUAGCCGACCUGAGAGGGUGAUCGGCCACACUGGGACUGAGACACGGCCCAGACUCCUACGGGAGGCAGCAGUAGGGAAUCUUCCGCAAUGGACGAAAGUCUGACGGAGCAACGCCGCGUGAGCGAAGAAGGUCUUCGGAUCGUAAAGCUCUGUUGUCAGGGAAGAACAAGUACCGUUCGAAUAGGGCGGUACCUUGACGGUACCUGACCAGAAAGCCACGGCUAACUACGUGCCAGCAGCCGCGGUAA